Bombus huntii is the source of this 4596-nucleotide long non-coding RNA. RefSeq lists it as uncharacterized. The record is from RefSeq and is a predicted model, not a curated record. The transcript is spliced from 2 exons. NCBI's taxonomy places the organism in Eukaryota, Metazoa, Arthropoda, Insecta, Hymenoptera, Apidae.
ACAUCACUGUCGCUUUAUACCUUCUCGUAGCAGGUACUUGCGCGUUGUUCUAUCUUCGCCAGCUGGAAAAACGUACCUGAAUCGAGCUGCAAACAUUUCCCGUAACGAUCGUCGACUAUAUAAAUUUAUUUCUUCGCCGCAUGCGUUGCGAACGUGGACGUUUGAUGUGAUUCCGACCGAGAAUCGCACUACUUGAACGCAGCGUCGUUUAUUACGCGGAACAAUUGUUUCGGUUAAUUCUAUUGCAAGUAGAAUACGCGUUACAUCCAAUAUAAAUUAAAUUUCGUAAUUGUCGCGCCAUCCCUUGUUUGAUCGAAUAAACAUAGUCGAUAAUUAUCCAUUGCGCUAACGCGUUACAUAGUACGCGCGUAGUCGUCGAUCGAAUACGCGCGGUCGAAUAAUAACGACGUUGGAACCGCCGACGCAACGCGCUUUCGACGUGAAACGCGUGAAACGUCCGCUGAGAAGUUCCACCCAUUGGACAGAUUGAAGGAGCAUAUUUUUCUGGCCUGAUCCGCGAAACGCGAUUAAUCGCACGAUUAGCUGAUCGAAACUGGUGGAAAAUAUUGGCCGAUCGAUAGCCGAAUUUCCUCGCGGAACACCGACGCCGGCGCUGCGACGCCAACCACUGGACGUUAUCGAUAACGUCGGCUUCGCAUUGGCGGCAAUAAAGCGGGAAAAUUGCAGCCGCGACGCGGAUUACGUCGAUCGAGAAAGUCAUUUCAGCACGCUUCAUCGAUCAUCUAACUGAGAGGCAGAGAUCGUCUCUCGUUUUCUUUGAAUUCUACAAAUUCAUAAUAUGCAGAAUUGUUAUAUUCUUAUUAUAUAUUUUAUAAUAUUAUUCUAUGAAGGCAGGUAUUUUUUCGCACUUUCAGAAAACGGGUAUCGUUACGCUUAUAAUUAAAUCCGCUGAUAGAAACGCCAUCUCUAAUUGCGGAUCAAUCUGUGUGUUCAUCGUCGUGGGCAAAAUUUCAGGAAAGUUAACCUCUCAGGUUCGGUUGAAUUGUACCAAUCACAUUGGAACGAAGUGUUUGAUAUCUAAAUUGUAAUUUUUCCUAAAGAUAUGAUGUAUAUGCUUGAACCUGAAUAAUUUACUUUAAUAAUUAACAAUACAAGUGCAUGUGAUAUAUUUUAAAGCACGGUACGACACAGACCCACGUCACAAUUCUCACACUCAUAACGCGACAGUGUUUUUCAAAUUGUUCUUCGUUUUCUAUUUUCAAGCGACAUUUUGAGGCUGAAGAUUCUAAAAAAUUAGAAAAAUACGGAUCGGCAUGUUAAAAAAAGGCAUGUGAUGGACGGUGAGACGUGUUGUUGGUUAAAUUAAUAACAAGACGAGUUGAUUUCGUCAAAUGUAUUUACAAGUAUAUUUAAAUGUGGAAUACGGAGCUAGGCGUAAACGUCGCUCGCUCGAUGCAAUUCGUUACAAGCAUACUCGAUACUACUCGUUAUGCUGAUUCUUUAGACUGAUUCGCUAUACCUAUUCGCUCGACUGAUAAUCUCGACGACUCAUGUCUGGAAAGCAUGGUUGUCUAUUUAUACUGGUCGCGAGUGUACCGAAAAUUUUGAACUUGACUCUGGUUGACGAUUGCACGUAGCAACAAUAUUGCUUUGUCCAGAGUUUGUUACAUUUUGUGCGUCGUACUGUGUUAAUCCUCUGUGGCAAAACAACUACAUGAGGCAUCUUCGAAUCGAAACGUCCUAUGACACAUGUGCCGCUACAGUUAUAAAAUGUUGUGAGGGCAAAAGAAGUGUGAAGCAAGACAAAUGAAGAUUCGUUGUGACAAAUCUCCUGAUGUAUCGUCGCUAUUUAUCAGAGGAGCUUAACAAUGGUUACCAGGUUGAUUCGGUGUAUACCAAAAGGCUAAAUAAACCAUGGUAUUCUAAUUCGUAAACUGAGAGCUAUAGGCUUCUCCGGAAGCAUCGCCUGGAAAGCUAGCUAUCUCUAAGGUCGUCACCUGGUUGUUAAAUUCUAUUAUCAUUCUUUUAAAUCAUUUAAGGUUAAGUUGGUAAUUCACGAGAAUCCCACUUUGGUGCUCUUCUCUUCAUUCUCCUUGUCAAUAAUAUAGUAGUGUUAUCUCGGAUUAUCUCCUUGUUAUAAAUCUCACAUCAGAGAUAAACAUAAUUUUCAAAUAACAUUUAUGUUUCAUAUUUAGAACAACAUAAAUUGUUAAAAUUGGCUACCAAACAUUGCGGCAAUUUUACAUCGUUUAAUCGCCACAAUCGCGAUGAUAUUAUUAGGAGGUUGAAUGUUCAAACUCUAUUCGAUAGGCGAAUCAUAUGCGAUACUACAUUCGUAUAUGAAAUUCUUAGAGAUUCCAUAACUUGUCCCUCGACCGUACGCUUGUGCCCGUGACGAUGAAACUGUCCUAAGUCAAGAAUGUAGUAAAAACGAGUGUACCUCUUAUUUGACAUGUUUGCAAAUAUAACGGUAGAAGUUGAAUGAUUGGAUUGAGUUGAUCAUUACGGAGUUAUAUACAGAAUUUAGCUAAGGCGACUGUAAAUAUUUCGAAACGAAAAAUAUAAUAAGGUAAAUGUAAUAACGUAAAUGUAAUCUCCAGAAGAAUGCGAAAUUACUUGCUGUUAAAGCAACAUUUACAACUGCAACCGUUUCGACUGUCGUAACUGUUUUAACAGGACGAUGAAUUUCACUGACUCUGUCCACCACAAAAUUGAUGUAUUUUAGUCGAUCUAUGGAAUCUCCAAGAUUCUCUUCAGGACGGAUUUUAUAACUUUCUUAUCUUAAUCCUUAAUUUUAGCUUCUUCUUAAUUGUUACUUGUUAUCUUUUUUUUAUUUUUAUUAUUAUUAAAGUAAUGAUAUAUAAGGUUUUAUUAAAUAACAGAAUAACUAUUUUAUAUGUAACAUAAAAAAUUGAAGUAUUAACGAACACCGCCCUAUUCUCUUAUACAUCUCAAACAGAAAUGAAUUUGGUUUAUUGCACAUUCAUUCAUUCGACACAUACGCGAUGCACUCGUCUCAUGGCGUUUUCCUUUUGUCUUCCCCUUUUUUAUUCCUCGCUCGUACAAUACAGAUGUACACACAUCUAUUUUCUAACAAUUAUUUUGCGUUUUACUAUCUUUCCUUCACUCCGUACACUGUAUCUUUUCAUUUUCGCUAAAGGGAUUUUUCUUCCCCGUGAAACUAGUAACAAAGAUAAAAUAUCGAAAGUUUUUGCGUCACGGUAACCUCUUUAUCGUUUGUUCUUAUGAUUAAAAAACUCGUAACAGGAUGAAAUUGUUGAGAAUUGUGGAUCUUAAUCGCCGAAAUAAAUGUAUAGGAAUACUUAGAUUAUACUUAGAAUUGAUAUCAAAAUAGUUUCAGAUUUAUUUAGUAUGUGAUUUUCAAGAUAUUUAUCGAUGCAUAUUUGCACGCGUCACAGCACUCUCUUUCUCUCGCCAUCUUCUAUAUCGCAUUACCAACGAAACAGUUGCAUUCGUCUGUUUUACGAGACGCUGUGUACGCACAUACUCUCACACACUCAUACUCAUAUAUGUGUGUUACUAAAUGUGGCUAAUCUAGUGUAGCACACAAAAUUACACAUAUCUCAAUAGAAAUCCUUAAUCGAUGACUUGGACAAUUGAAGUGAUUUGUUCCUAUCUCGAAAUGUCAUGCUAUAUAUUUCUCGUGGAAAAUGAAACAAUACUCGAUCAAUGAUAACUCCAUAAAUGGUACACCGCCGGAUAAACAAAAACAAAAACUUAUUUUGACGGUAUUUUUUCCUCCUCGUUAUCUUCUACAAAUUUCUAGAAAACGACACCUCAAAAUCUCUGGAUCUCGUUAAAAAACCACACAAUGAAACGUUUAGAAUGAUAUGUUUACAACGAAAUUUGUAAAAUAUACUCGUUUCUAAUCGUGUCACACCUGGAAUACGCAUUUGAAAAAUAGAAUUCAGCGCAGUCGCAUAUCAUGAAAUUGCUUGAAAGCGUGCAAUAGGAAUUUCUCACACACAUCGUUCUCAAAAUUGAUAAACCGAUAUUCAAAACUUGCUAUAAUUAUGACAAUAAUGUGAAUAUGCUCACUCCUCCAUAUUGCAUUCACACUGCGAAAACAGAUAUCACCAAACAGAGACAAAUGCAUUGGCUAACAAGUCGAAAAUCCAAAUUAAGCAUAAAAAAUAAAUUAAAAAUAUACAAAACGAUCAUAAAACCAAUUUGGACGUACGGAAUACCACUAUGGGGAACAGCAGCAAUGAGCCAUAUAAGCAAAAUAGAGACAAUGCAAGCUAAAAUUCUUAAAACAAUAGUAAAUAUCCCAUGGUACGUUAGAAACAAAGAUAUUCGGAAAGACCUGAGAAUACCAACGGUCAAGGAGGAGAUUAGCAGAUGCGCAAGAAGGACAGAGAAAGAAUAGCAACGCACCCAAACCGGCUAGCAGCGGAAACGAUCAACACAUCAAGCAUAGAAAGAAGACUAGAAAGGAAACACCCAGCAGAUCUCAUAAAGGAUAUAACCUAACAAACACGAAGAUGGUACCCCGCUGGGGGUAGGCACCCACAUGUUAUAUUAUUAUACCACUAAGCUAUAAUAUUUUACCAAAUGUCGUACUGGACAAAUUGUAAAAUUUAAAUAAAUAACUAAAAAAAAAAAAAAAAAAAU